This 429-nucleotide ribosomal RNA is filed under the name uncultured archaeon. RNAcentral describes it as "bacterial SSU rRNA". It matches the Rfam family "Archaeal small subunit ribosomal RNA", at positions 146 to 576 of the family's 1478-position model. The record is from RNAcentral.
UUAAUACCGGAUAGAUCAAAGAAACUGGAAUGUUCUCUGGUCUAAAACUCCGGUGCCCAAGGAUGGGUCUGCGGCCUAUCAGGUAGUAGUGGGUGUAACGUACCUACUAGCCAGCGACGGGUAAGGGUUGUGAGAGCAAGAUCCCUGAGAUGGAUUCUGAGACAUGAAUCCAGGCCCUACGGGGUGCAGCAGGCGCGAAAACUUUACACUGCGGGAAACCGCGAUAAGGGGACCCCGAGUGCCAGCACAUAGUGCUGGCUGUCCUACUGUCUAAAUAACAGUGGUUAGCAAGGGCCGGGCAAGACCGGUGCCAGCCGCCGCGGUAACACCGGCGGCCCGAGUGGUAACCGUUUUUAUUGGGUUUAAAGGGUCCGUAGCCGGCUUACUAAGUCUCUUGGGAAAUCUGGCGGCUCAAUCGUCAGGCGUUCA